GACGAACGCUGGCGGCGUGCUUAACACAUGCAAGUCGAACGGAAAGGCCCUGCUUUUGUGGGGUGCUCGAGUGGCGAACGGGUGAGUAACACGUGAGUAAAAUGCCCUUGACUUUGGGAUAAAUUCAGGAAACUGGGGCUAAUACCGGAUAGGAGCUCCUGCUGCAUGGUGGGGGUUGGAAAGUUUCGGCGGUUGGGGCUGGACUCGCGGCUUAUCAGCUUGUUGGUGAGGUAGUGGCUUACCAAGGCUUUGACGGGUAGCCGGCCUGAGAGGGUGACCGGCCACAUUGGGACUGAGAUACGGCCCAGACUCCUACGUGAGGCAGCAGUGGGGAAUAUUGCACAAUGGGCGGAAGCCUGAUGCAGCAACGCCGCGUGCGUGAUGACGGCCUUCGGGUUGUAAACCGCUUUCGCCUGUGACGAAGCGUGAGUGACGGUAAUGGGUAAAGAAGCACCGGCUAACUACGUG
This 468-nucleotide ribosomal RNA is filed under the name uncultured bacterium. RNAcentral describes it as "partial 16S ribosomal RNA". It matches the Rfam family "Bacterial small subunit ribosomal RNA", at positions 28 to 507 of the family's 1533-position model. The record is from RNAcentral.